GUCCAGUGUAGUCUAGUGGACAUGGCAUCUGCCCGGUAAGCGGAACACAGUGAGUUCCUUUCCCAUCCCUGGACA
Molecule: transfer RNA, 75 nt
Filed under: Cordylochernes scorpioides
Lineage: Eukaryota; Metazoa; Arthropoda; Arachnida; Pseudoscorpiones; Chernetidae
Description: tRNA-Thr
Source: RNAcentral